This 372-nucleotide ribosomal RNA is filed under the name uncultured organism. Its description in RNAcentral is "bacterial SSU rRNA". It matches the Rfam family "Bacterial small subunit ribosomal RNA", at positions 526 to 896 of the family's 1533-position model. The record is from RNAcentral.
CGGGGGGGGCAAGCGUUGUUCGGAAUUACUGGGCGUAAAGGGCUCGUAGGCGGCCAACUAAGUCAGACGUGAAAUCCCCAGGCUCAACCUGGGAACUGCGUCUGAUACUGGAUGGCUUGAAUUCGGGAGAGGGAUGCAGAAUUCCAGGUGUAGCGGUGAAAUGCGUAGAUAUCUGGAGGAAUACCGGUGGCGAAGGCGGCAUCCUGGACCGACAUUGACGCUGAGGAGCGAAAGCUAGGGGAGCAAACGGGAUUAGAUACCCCGGUAGUCCUAGCCCUAAACGAUGAAUGCUUGGUGUAACGGGUAUCGAUCCCUGUUGUGCCGAAGCUAACGCAUUAAGCAUUCCGCCUGGGGAGUACGGUCGCAAGGCUG